This 17224-nucleotide long non-coding RNA is filed under the name Sorghum bicolor (sorghum). RNAcentral's name for it is "long non-coding RNA (SBIC_LNC013785)". The record is from RNAcentral. Lineage: Eukaryota; Viridiplantae; Streptophyta; Magnoliopsida; Poales; Poaceae.
AGCAGUUAAAAGAUAGAACGGUCAAGUCAAGCGCCAUGUCUCUUAUUCUUGAUCAGCUAUAGCUCUGGAGUUUUUGCAGAUUUUCAAAUAAAACUCAGAGAUUCCUUGUAUGAUUCUCUCAAAUCUCUCUUUUGUGGUAUUUUUGGAUCCUUACCAAGGCAGUGAUGGUAUAUGCCUUCUCUCAAGAUAUGUAGUAUUUGUGGUAUGAAGCAUAGUGACAUUGUCUUCUCUCUCACCCUACUCUAAUAGGACUUUAAUAUCUGGAGCUCAUAGGUGGGAGAUAAAGUAUACAUACUUACAAGACAUUUAUUGCAUAGUCAAACCAUGGAUCCAAAGAAACAAAUCAAUAAGCCAAAUCAAGAUGUGCAUGUGUGGCGAAUGAAUGGUGUAUGGUGAUGAUGGUGAUAACAAUGGUGGUGGAAGUCUAUUUCUACUUUGCUCUUUGAGAGGAUACAUACCUUCCUUGCUUUUGAAACUUUAUGAGGAGAAUGAGAUGCUCUUCUUUUUCUUUUCUUUCGAGGUUCCGAGCACUUGCUCCUUUUUAUUUCCUCGUAUCUUUUAUUUUCUUUUUCUCUCUUUUUUUUCAGAGCAUUCAUCUCUUGAGAUAAUAUAGCAAGUGGUAGUAACAAGAUAACUUGAGCAUUUAUUUCACAAGGGGAAACAAAAAUAUUUUUGGUUAUUCUCUUCCGGAUUAGGAGUAGAAUAUUUUUAGGUGAUUCUGGAGAUGGAAAUGAGUGGAUAUAUGUGGAUGGUACUUCCGGAGUAGAAGUAGCAUAUAUGAGUGGACGUGCAAGUGAAAUCUUGAUUUAACCACAUGACAAGCUCCUAAGGGUCUACACAGCUUGACCACACUCAAUGCUCAUAAGCAGUAAAUAAUAAAUGUGUGGCUCAAGGUCUAGCAAGCAUGUAUAUAUGGCUGUGGUAGGAAUUUAAACUCUCAUCAUACAGGAACUCAUCAUGCAACAUUUUAAAGAUUUUCAAAGAUAAAAUUCUCCAGAAUUCUAGCAUCUCUAGGAACAGAUAAACAGCAGCUCAACCUUCCCAUAUCGUAUCCGUUAACAACUUAGACUUCAGAUCAAGUUUUCAUCCCACAAGUUUAGGUCUAGAGCAAGCCUUAAAUUAUAACAGUCAUAUCUAAACUUGAGAGAGAACUUCAAAUUUGCAAAUUAGGCAGAGCAACUAUUCAUCAUAUCCAUGCUUAAGUUUUAUUAGAUACAGAUUAGCAUGGCCACUUUAUUUAUUUAUUAAACACACUAAGCAAAAUAUAUAUAAGCAUAAAAUCUUUAUUUGGUUUUUCAUAGUUAUGUGUAUUUAUAUUCUAAUAUAGUAUAAGUAUAAAGAUAGAUAGAAAUACUUAUCGACAUAAAUGGGGGUGCUCUCCCCCAAGCUGAAUUUUGACGUAAUUUCUCUUGAUGUAGCUAGCAGGUGGCAGAGGUGUGUUUGAAAGUCAGCAGUAUUUUGACAGCGAUUAGAAUGUCCUCCGUCUGCUAGUCUUCUUGAUUCUUAAAUUCUGUGGAGCUCAAAUAGACAACAAAGCUUGUGGAACUGAUUAAGUGUUAGCAUAAAUAUCUAGCCUUUAUCAUGUUGAGACUCCUUAAUAAAUAUUACUCCCUGUUUUUAUAUUUUUGUUUUUAUAAAGCAGAAAAAUAUUUAUUUUAUUUUUAUGCCACCACAAUUAAUGUACUUAUGGGUUUUAUGCCACUCGUCUACUCACAUGGGGCUUACAGUUUUUUUUUCUUCACAUUUUUAUUUUCUUUCUAGGAUAAUACGAACAUGAUUAACUAAGUAAACUAUUUGAAAUAAUUAAAAGGGAAAGGAUAACUACCAAGUUUACCUCCUGGCAAGGCGUUCGGUGUUUAUAAGUCCUCCGAACAGGACUCUCCAUUUUCUUAAUCGUCCUGAGGUUCGUUGGGUGGCGUAGUCGGUACUUCUGGCAGCGCCUCCUCUUCAUUUAUAGUUAUCUUCAUUUUCCAUACCUGACUCGGUGUUACGGUCUCCUCAGGACAGUUCUGUUCAAGUUGUAUCACUUCUCCUUCGUAGUCUACCCAUCCGUCCUUGAUGAUUUGCCUCCUCUGGUUGCGGUUGCGUUGUCUUCUUCUUGUCCUGACCUGCUUAGAAUCUUCAACUAUAUAGUUAGAAUCAUUAAAGUAGUGGCGUACCUUCUCAGAGGGGAAGUGCAUGUGGACUUCUCCGGUUCCAAUAUAGAUAAUGGCUUUGAUAGUGCUGAGGAACGGUUUUUCAAGGAUGGUGGAUGGAUCAUACUCGUCUUCUCCCAUGUCAAUGACCUGAAAUUGUCUGAAGCUGAAUGUGUCUUGGUUGUAGGAGCAUGGUUCCAUGCAGGAGCUGAUAAGUGACUGCGGCCAUUAUGUUGUCGUUAGAUCCGAUGUCGUAGAGUGUCUUCUGAAAAGAGUAUCCGUUGAUUGUGCACUCGAUGCUUGGAACACCAGGGUUGUCCUUCUUGAUCAGGAAUGGCGACUUGAGUCGACGAUCUUGACCUCUUUGAACUGCAGUGACCAUCUUAGCUGACUCAGUCCACAUUUGCUUGUUCCUGUUCCUCCUGUUGGUCCUCUUCCUUGGUUCAUGUCGGAUUUGCUCUGAAGCUUGUGUAGUCUUGUUCUUGAAGGAAACUCUCCUUCUUCCCCUUGAUGUAGAGACUGAUCUUGGCAGCAUUAGCGUAGAUGACUGCUCUGGUGUUUAGGAAUGGCCUCCCUAAGAUGAUGGGUGCUCUCUCCUCACUACCAGUCUCUAUCACCACGAAGUUUGCUGGAGUGUACAAGGUACCAACUCGGACACAGAGGUUCUUCAAUAUUCCUUUGGGAAACUAAGUGUCUGAUCUUCAUUGUGUUUGUGCUUGUAGAUCCCGGUUCUUCACUGGAUGGAAUCUGGGAGUUGUAAAACGCCUUCACGUUUCUCAAAAUGUGUCCUGCUCAUAGAGACAAGGCAGAGAUCAAGUGCAUGGGCCCUGUUGGUGGAAAACACCAACAGAACCAAAAGUGUAUUUGUUCUUCUCUAACCUUAAGCAUAGUGAGCAAGACAAAGUUGAUGGAUCAUGAGUGUAGUAUUUAAAACAUUUGUUAGAUCAGAUGGCUCAAUCUAAUGGAAAGAUAAUCUAUCUAUAUUUAUGUUUUGUUUAUAUCUUCCAAAGAUUGAAUGUGCAAUACUUUAGCUUAUAUGAUUAGGAGUGUGGGAUCACGAAGGUAGUACUAAGAACAAAGAUUAAAGGACUAAACAUGUUGAAUUAAUUGGGUUGAUUAAUUUGGAGCUACAAAUCAUACAUGUUUGUCUCUUUAUUUUAUGUGAACGCUAGAACCAAGGAGAAGCUUAUAAAAGUGAUAGUCAAGUACCUUAAAAUGUUACCUUACUUGAAGAGUGACGGUACAGUAUCACCUUGUGGAAGCUUUCCUUUCUUAGCGGUUGUGCAUCGUGUUUGUGGCACCCUCCAUGGAUCAUCUCUUUAUGAUGAAUGAGCUAUGUCCUUCUUGUGCAAAAUGUUAAACUUCAUGUGUCUCCUUUAUCUCCAAUGAGUUUGUAUCUCAGGACUUCCCAGGUUGAUAUUGAAAGUUUUCCUGCAGGGGUUAGUCCAACAAAAUAUCCCAUAUCUACUAUAGCAUACUAUCGGCUCAAAAAUCAACCUAGACACCAUGUCUAAUUUGAUUUAGGAGGGCAUUUUAACCUAAGCACCAUGCUUAAUUUAAAAAUCCUUUGGAAGUAAGAUCAUCAUUCCUAAACUAAGCACCAUGCUUGAUUUAAGAGAUAAAUGAAACUACUCCAAACCUAGACAUAUACUAAAGCAAAUAAAGGUAGCAUGAGAGCAUUUAUAGCGAUCUACUCAAGUGGAGGUGAAGUAGUGUAAUUAGUACUUAACAAAUUGAGCAUCUCUCAAAGGUAGGGACAACCAACGUAGCAGCAUGGCAAAGGAUGUUUUUAUGUAAAGUACUCCCCCAAGCUUGAAUUUUGCAAAAUUCAAGUUUGGAUGAAUUUAAUUCAAUGUUGUGUGAUGGUUGGUUGGACAUACCUUGUGCUUGUCAUUCAUCCGAUCUUCUUGCUCCAAUCCUGGAAAGGUUAGUGACAAGAAUACCCGAAGGAAUAUUUCUACAAUUAUCUUUAUAUGCUCAAUACACAAGGCAAUGUUGCAAAUAAUUAGAAGUGCUUGUUUUAGGACACUAAGCUUGUCCUUUGGAAACCAUCAAUUAACUCAACGAGAUCUGCAAUAUUUAUUAUAGACAUAUGCAUCGACAACCGCUCUUUUAAAGUUUUUAUAAAUAGAAAAGAAGAGAGGGUUGGAGAUCUCAAAUGUGAUAAGGAUGGAGAGACUAAUUGAUUGGAGAGAUGUUUUAUAUGAACAAGGACUUGAUGAGGUAUUUAUGAAAUAAUUUCCAUGCUCACUGUUGUUUCUCUCAUUCUCAAACUCCAAGGAUGAUUCUUCAUGAAUGCUUAAAAUUCGUCUAGGAUUGUCUCUCAAGUUUGUUUUAUCUAUCCAUUCAAUGGUGAUAGCACAUGGAUUUUUAAUGCCCUCUAGCCAUUGAUGUUGCUCUUCUCGAUCCUCCUUCUUAUGCAUGGGAUGUCUAGAGAGAUUCAUAGGAUUAUCGGGAGGUUCAAGAGAAAGAGCAUAGUAGAAAUUAUUAAGCUCAAGGAUGGGAUGGAUAGCCGAAUCAUGGGAUUGAAAUGUUUGGAAAUUGGCUAUUGAAACUUCCUUUCCUCGUCUGGGAGAUGAUUCCUUCUCUAUCUCUAUGAUUUUUCUAUGAAGACUAGUACAAGAAGGAUGUUCACGCAUGAAGACAUACCUUCCUUUACUAAUAGAUAAAGAAAUAAAGACUCUACCAAUGGUUAUAUAAUUAAGACCAAUGUGAAAAUAUCUAGGAAAAACAUGGUCUUGUAGGGCUAGGUCUAAACCAGAAUUUAUAGAAAGAUUAACAGAUUCUCUAGGUGUAGCUAAAAGUGCAUUAUCUUUUUGAUUAAAAGAUAGGACCUCAGCUAUAGAAAAGGGUUGGUUUUGACCUAUUGCAAUCAACUCCGGACACAGAUCAUAAUUAGGGGCAGAACGUGUUGACUCCCAUGGUCUAUGGCUGGUCUCCGAAGGUGCAAAGAAUUUAAUAAUAGAUAUGGAAUUUGAGUUAUCCAUAAAGAUAAAAAGAUAAAAGAAUAAAAGUAUAAAAGUAUAAUACAAGAUAAUAGCAAGACUCAAAGUUAUCUCAGCAAACCGUCUUUCUCCCCGGCAACGGCGCGAGAAAUGCUUGUUGAUAUUUGGUAACGCAAUAAGGAAAUGAUCCGCAAGCGCACGGAUAUCGGUGAGCAUUUCACCCGGGAGGUUAUCCAGAGUUAUCGUAUUUAUAUUUUUACCACUGGGAGAAAGGGUGCAUCUGACUAACCAAAUCUAUUGCUACUACCCCUUUAGGCUACAAAGAAUGUCUCUCGAUGUGAGUGAUGUAUAGAGAAGACUGCAACCGUAGUCUCGUUCUAACCUUGGUAAGGAUGAUCUACUGUUCUAUUGGGGAGGCUCACGGAAUCUAGACAACACAAAGGAUGUUCGACCCGCACCUAUAACCCUACCCGUCCUGCUAACGAGAUGUGAUCUGCAAAGGUAACUCGGAAUUGUCACGUUCCUUGCUACUACCACGGUCCAGCUAGUCAGGGGAUAUCUAUGAGUACCCUAGCCUAAACACCACGUUUACGCUAACAAGUGAUUACUCUAAUACUCAACCGGAAGAGGAUUAAAGUAAACUCAUAAACCAAAGAACAAUAAAACAAGAACUUACUAGUAUUAGAAGUCGAAUUACUGAAGAAUCUUAGAAGCAAGCCUCGGGUUUGGAGACUUGAUCUCGUAGGUACAACUCGGAGUAGACACCGACAGGCCAGCCUUCCUCCGAUCCACACCUCCACUCUAUCUCUCUCAAUCUAGUAGAAACUAGAAGAUCUAUUUCUACUUUACAUUGGUUGCUAAGCCUAAAAAGAAAUAUUAUUUAGAGAAGAGGUUUUCCUUCGAGGGCACCCCUCAAUCUCUAUGAUAAUUUCUUGUCUCCUCCAGGGGCCAAAGGGGGUCUCCUUAUAUAGUCCUCCCCUUCUAUGCAUUUUUGGGUCGAUAGGCGAGGUGGUACUAUGUUAUUCUGGAUCCAAUAGGUCGGUGGAACGUCGUGUGUGAAGAGAGUCCGGAACGGGGUCCAGAGGUGGGCGGGCGCCCAGGUCCUCAGGGCGGGCGCCCUGGGCCUGGCCCCUUUCGGGCUCCGCUUCCUUCCCGUGGCUUCUGGAGUCUUCUAGAUGGUAGAAAAUUGCGCGGUGGGUUGAUAUCUCUAUGUAAUCCCGACAUGUGGUCCUUUCUUCCUUAUUUCCUGAUAACCCCCUGCAGAAAUAGACAAACACCAAAACAAACUCGUGGAAUUCUGUCAGAUAAAACCCUAAGUCUAGAUGUUGAUUUCAUUUGGAUCCUUUUCUUUGUUUAUUUGAUAAUUAAAUUUGAUACUUAAGGACCGUCAACAAUUGCCUUCCCUCAUAAACUCCAUUUCAUUUUCAUACCUAUCUAGGAGGGUUGUUCCUACUAUAAAUAUUCCCUACCUCUAAGCUAUUAGCAACCUUUGAUCAUUUGAUAAACUACAUGAUAGUGCAACCACACUGUUGAGUGCCUUACUCAACCUUUGUUCUUCCUUGUUUUUCUUGGACAUGUGAAGUGAUUCCUCUAGAAUCCCCUACUUUGUGCUCUACGGUUACCGUUCAGUUGCACCAUAUUGUGUGGAUUUGUUCUGGAUUGUGGUUCUGUGGUUGUUCUAGAUUGUGGAUUAAUCAAAGUCUUCGCGGUUUUGGUGCCUCUCUCCCCAUCGCUUGGUCGCAUCCAACCUUUGUCAGGUAUAAAGCUAGUUAUCCUCUGUUUGCAGUAAGUUAUCUUUAUUCUUUCAAUCUACUGUCGUGAAGAUCGGGGCCACCCUCGUGUCGAUUCAUAUCGGUACCUAUCAAUUGGUAUUAAAGCUUUUAUUGUCACGGUAGGUCUCACAAUCAUCCACAUAUCUACCUUUAGUUAUCUAUCAUUUGUCACUAAUUUAUUCAUCACCUAUAGUACACUGAAAAAGCCACAAAAAAUCUUAUAGCCCUUUGAUGGUACUAUUAUCUUGUGUUUUUUGUGUUCAUCAUGUUGCUAGUCACCAUCAUAUAUUGUGUUGUGUUUCAUUUGUUACUACACCCCUGUUAGUGUACAAAAAAUAGAAAAAAAUCAGAGAAAAGAAAAUAAGAAGAAAAGAAAGAUGCAAAAGAGAAGAAAAAGAAGAGGAAAGGGGUUGUAUUGCGGUUUGCUCACUGAAAAAAUCAGUUUACAUAUUCAGAUUCUUGGUGAUUUAUAUACCAGCAACAUUAUAUCUUUUGAGUACAUCAAACCACUUGAUUUUUAGUACUGUAGCCUCCCUUGUUUAGCCACCUAUAGCUCCACAAAUAAAUGAAACUGGGACAUUCGACUCGUAAUCCUUGCAACCAUAGAAUCACUUCUGUUGAGCUACUACAUUAGCAUAAUUCACUGUCCUUCAGAAUAGGAAAGAGCAUUGGUAAGUAAGAGAUGAGGUUGUGUGAUUCCAUAAAUUUACCCAUUUCACUAUAUUUUGCAUUAGUACUAACAUGUCAGGAUCCAAUUCAAGUAUUCGUGGUGAUCGUCAUUGAGAAAAAGAACCCCAUGUUGCACGGGUUGAGUUGCACCGAAUGGCAGACUCACUCUUUUUUUUGAAAGAACAGUAGGGUAAUCCCCUACCUAUUUUUUUGUAUUUCAAUUAAAUGAAAGAAUGUUCUGUACAAACAAAGAAAAAAAGAAUGAAAAGGAAAAGUAUAGGGCAACCAGGCCCAAAAGGAAAAGUACAACAAAGCUAUGGACGAAAAUUAUCUUGCCAGAGGGCUAAAGCAAAACAUAGUUUCUCAUUGGCCUUGAUGCACACCAGGUCCAAUUCUUCUUUGAAUUUUCUUCUCCAAAUGGGGACACUACACUGUCCAUUAUCAAAGACUAUGGAGUUUCUUAGAGUCCAUAUUGCCCAACAAGCAGUGAUAACUAAUUCUCUGAAGAUAUGGCUUCCAAAUUGAUCUCUAGCAUUCACCAUCAUAUCCAGUGGAGGCAAGUUAAGAUUCCAUCUAAUUGUGACGGAGCUCCAGCAAGCUUGACUGAAGUUGCAUUCAGACUCUUGCAGGCCAUAGAGAGGAUGCUUGAUGCACGCAUACCUGCAUAUAGGCGGAGGGCUCCUCGGCAUCAAUAUGACGAAUCUGGUGGUGAAAAUUCUGAUGCAGAGCAUGAUCAUUUCAGAGAUGGUCAUCAUGGCCAAGAUGGAGGAUGAGCUCAUGGGCGUGGUUGUGGCCAUCGUGUCUGUUUUGAUGAUGAAGAAUUUGAUGACUUUGAUCAAGAAGAGGGGUCUGAUGAGAAUCCCUUUGCAAAUAAAGGGCUGCAUGGGUGGUUCCAUGAUCAUCGGCAACAUGCUGAUCAUGGAGAUAGGCCUGAGCAUCAUCAUGGUCGCCGUAAUAGGGAAGACCCGAACAACAUUGCUUGUGUCAAGCUGAGUAUCCAAAAAAUCACUAGAAUAGAGGAUGCAGAUGCAUAUCUUGAGUGGGCUGAGACGUGUGAUCAUAUUUUCAGAGUGCACAAUCUCUCUAAUCAGAGGCAUGUCAACUUGCUUCAGUGGUGUUCUCUAGUUAUGCUCUGACUUGGUGGAAUCAGAUAUAGGAGAAUCAACUUAUGUUGGGCUGUGAAUAUAUCAACACAUGGGAAGGGAUGAAGCAAGUGAUGAGAAGGCGAUUUGUACCAUCAAGCUAUCAGCGUGACCUUCGCAAUAGGUUGCAAAUGUUGAAGCAAGGAAAAAGAUCGAUUGAUGAGUAUUAUAAGGAGAUGGAGCUGCUAUUAGUGCGGGCUGGAAUUAGAGAGGAUCCAGAGUAAAAAAUGGCAAGAUUUUUGGGUGGUCUCAAUGAGGAAAUUGCUGAUUUUGUUGAGAUGUUUCCAUACCAUACUUUGCAAGACCUUGUUGAUCAAUCUAUGCGCACUGAAAGAAAAAAUUCAGCAAGAGAUAUGUGGAAAAUCUUAUGCAAGUCAUUCUAUUACAGCCCCGUAGCGCAAGCAGUAGUCUGGCACUUCUUUUGGUGGGGGACGAUCCCAAGGUGUUGCAACUAGGCCCUCUUCAUCUAAUGCUCCUUCGAAGAUGGUGGUUUCUAUUGCAUCUUCUCCUGCAAAUCAGCAGCGACCUGCUCCAAGUGCAGCAGCCCCAACUAUUGUUUCUUCAGCUGCUACUUCCUUUGUACGUAGCAAAGAAAUUGUGUGUCACAAGUGCCAUGGUCGUGGACAUGUUGCAGCACAAUGUCCUAGUACGAGGACCAUGAUUGUGAAUGAGAAUGGUGAAUGGGAAUCUAAAAGUGAUCGUGAGGAAGAAGGUCCAAAAUAUGAUGAGGAUCAUGAAAGCAAUGAUAAUGAGAUCCAACCUGAUGAAGGUGAUAACAACUACUUUAUUUCUCUUUAUGUGCUUAGUGUUACUGCUACAAAAGAAGAUAAUAGGCAGCAGCACAAUCUUUUCUACACUCGAGGCAUGAUCAAAGAAAAGUUGUGUAGAAUUAUUGUUGACAAUGGCAGCUGCAACAACAUUAUCAGCCAAGAAUUGGUUGAUAGAAUAGAGCUAAAACAAAGGUGUCAUCCUAAUCCAUACAAAAUGUGUAUGGUGUGCUGCGUAUGAACCAUGUUGUGAUAGUUCCUUUCUCUAUUAGGAGGUAUAAUGAUCAUGUGGAUUGUGAUGUGGUGCCUAUGCAAGCAUACCAACUGCUGCUAGUAAGACCAUGGUUAUAUGAUCAUGAGUUCAGAUCUUUGGAAGAACCAACAAGCUGGCUUUCAUGUACAAAGGAGAGAAAAUUUCUUUGCUCCCUUUGUCACCAGAGAAAAUUUUGAUGGUUGAUCUAAAAAGAAAACAGUGAGAGAGCGAGAACCACAUGCGAGUGACCCACAAAAAUAGUGAGGGAGUGUUUCCAAAGCCAAAAAAACCCCACAGCCGCAAAGAACCAAGAUAAUGGGAAAAGAGGGAUUAGUUAUGAUGGCUACGAAGGAGAAUUUAAAAAGAAUUGAAUGAACCUAAUGCCACAUUCUUUGAACUCCUAUAUAAGGAAAAUUUCCUUUCCACUAACGACUUAUCCUCUACUUUGCCAAGUAUUGUUUUUAAUGUGCUACAGGAAUAUGAGCAUAUCUUUCCAGAGGAGGUACCACCGGGGCUGCCACCUAAGAGAGGAAUUGAACAUCAAAUUGACCUUGUUCCCGGUGCUUCACUUCUAAACUGAGCUGCAUACCGCACCAAUCCAGAGGAAACAAAAGAAAUUUAGCAACAAGUGGAAGAAUUGAUGAGAAAAGGAUAUGUGCAAGAAAGUCUUUCAUCUUGUGCAGUCCAUGUUCUUUUAGUUCCUAUGAAAGAUGGUUCAUGGAGAAUGUGUGUUGAUUGUAGAGCUAUUAAUAACAUUUUCCUAGACUUGAUGAUAUACUUGAUGAACUUAGUGGUACAAUAGAGAAUGUGUGUUGAUUGUAGAGCAAGUUUGUUGUGGUUUACUUUGAUGAUAUAUUAAUUUACAGCAAGUCUCUUGAUGAACAUGUUGAACAUAUCCAAAGUGUGCUUGUUGUCCUACUUGACAAAAAAUUGUAUGCUAACCUUGAUAAGUGCACAGUUUGCACCGACAAGGUAGGCUUUCUUGGCAUGUUGUUUCAAGUCAAGGUGUGGAGGUGGAUGAGGAAAAGAUCAAAGAUGUUCGUGAGUGGGUGCCUCCACAAAAUGUGAGUCAAGUGUGCAGCUUUGUUGGACUCGCUGGUUUCUACUGGCAAUUUGUGAAAGAUUUUAGCACCAUUGCUGCUCCAAUCAAUGAGUUGACAAAGAAAGAAGUGCUUUUAAAUGGGGAGAAGCACAAGAGAAGGCAUUUGAAGAACUGAAAAUGAAAUUGACAACAACCCCACUUCUUGCACUUCUAGAUUUUGGUAAGACAUUUGAAAUUGAAUGUGAUGCAAGUGGUGUAGGAAUUGGAGGCGUGAUCAUGCAAGAAAGGAGGUCGAUUGCAUACUUCAGUGAAAAGCUAAGUGGCCCAACUCUAACUUACUUAGUUUAUAAUAAAGAAUUAUAUGCUCUUGUUACAAGUUUGGAAACUUGGCAACACUACCUUUUGCCUUAAGAAUUUGUGAUACAUUCAGACCAUGAAUCUUUGAAACAUCUUAAAGGUCAAUUAAAACUAAACCGAAUACAUGCAAAAUGGAGUGAAUUCAUUGAGUGUUGUCAAGUACAAGAAAGGGAAGGAUAACAUUGUAGCUGAUGCUUUGUCUCGACGUCAUACUUUGCUUUCACAACUUGAUACUAAAAUUCUUGGAUUAGAAAGUAUAAAAGAAUUAUAUGCCAAUGAUUCAUAUUUUGUUGAACCAUAUUCCAAGUGUUGUGGUGGCAAGGGAUGGGAAAAGUUCCAUUUGCAUGAUGUGUUUUUGUUUUGAGCUAAUAAACUCUGCAUUCUAGAUUGCUCUGUUCGCAUUUUGCUGGUGCAGGAAGCUCAUGCGGGAGGACUUUUGGGCCAUUUUGGUGAAAAAAAUCAGAACAAGUGCUGACUAAUCAUUUCUUUUGACCUAAGAUGAGAAAAGAUGUGGAGAGGCAUGUUCUUCACUACAAAACCUGCCACAAAGCUAAGUCCCAUUUGAAACCUCAUGGUUUAUACACUCCUCUACCUAUUCCUAGUGUAACUUAGGAGGACAUUUCUAUGGACUUUAUUCUUGGUUUACCAUGGAUCAAGAGGGGAAGGGAUUCCAUAUUUGUUGUGGUUGAUAGGUUUAGCAAAAUGGCACACUUUAUUCUCUGUCAUAAGAGCAAUGAUGCUUCACACAUUGUUGUAUUGUUUUUCACAGAAAUUGUGCGUCUACAUGGAGUGCCACGUAUCAUCGUGUCUGAUCGUGACACUAAGUUUUUGAGCCACUUUUGGAAAACCUUGUGGGGAAAACUAGGAAUAAGGCUGCUAUUCUGCACAACGUGUCAUCCUCAAACUAAAGGACAAACUAAAGUUGUGAACGGUACACUGUCAACAUUGCUGUGAGCUGUCCUAAAGAAGAAUGUGAAAUUAUGGGAAGAAAGCUUGCCUCAUGUGGAGUUUGCAUAUAGCAGGGCGGUACAUUCGAUGACAAAUUUUUUCCAUUUGAGAUUGUCUAUAGGUUCAAACCUACUGCUUCCAUCGAUCUUUUGCCUUUGCCUAUGUAGGAACGUGUGAACUUUAAUGCAUGCAAGCAAGCAGAAUUUGUCAAUAAGCUUCAUGAUCGAGCUAAAGAAAACAUUGAGAAGAUGACCAAGCUAAAUGAGAAGCACACCAACAAGGGUCGUAAGAAGAUGUUAUUUGAACCAGGAGAUUUGGUUUGGGUGCACUUGCACAAGGAUCUCUUUCCUGAACAAUGCAAGAGCAAGUUGUAACCCUGAGCUGAUGGUCCAUUCAAAGUGAUUUGCAAGAUCAAUGAUAAUGCAUAUGAAAUUGAUCUCCCAAGUACAUAUCAUGUGAGUACAAGCUUCAACAUCACCGAUUUAUCUCCUUUCUUUGAAUUGGAAGAGUCAAGGAAGACUCCUUUUUAAGAGGGGGAGGAUGAUGAGGACAUCCCAUCUAUGCACGCUCGUUUAAGUCCAAAUGCUACUGUUUGUAUAAAUUAAUUGCACUCCUUUAAAUAACAUUUAAGUAAGAUUAUCUGCAAGCGCACAGAUAUCGUACCAAUGUCAAAUUUUACCCGGAGGUUUUAAAUAUCAUAUCCACAGGGAACAGUUGUGAUGAUGACAAAGUCUAUAGACCUAACCCAACAAUUAGGCAAGAUAAAUAUCGAGAAAGAGGAAAUAGCUAAUGACUUCUAGUUUUGACAACCAGUAAGCUUUGUAUAAUAUUGUUCUAACUGGCAAUAACCUAAUAGGAGAAGAAACAGAGUAAUCUCCUAUCGACACUUCUGGGGCGCCUAUCAAUCCUAUCAACGGGAAGUGGACUACAGAACGCAGUUGUCACCUAGGCGGACUACCACUAUGUGGCUAAUCAGGGGACAUCCACAAGGAAACCUAGCCUAGGCACCACGCCUACGCUACGGAAUACAACUUUAACCUACACGGUCCUAUAGAUCAAAGUACUCAAUACGAGUUGCAAACUUAAGAACGAACAAGAACAAAGGGCGAGGGAGCCGAACCCUGAAGAAUACAGCAAAGAAGCGCCGACUUACGGGAACUCCUCCAGAACUCCUCUACUCUAUCUCUCUAUUAGUCUCUUCUAAUUGCUACACCUAUCUUUUAAUCUCUGGAGAAGAGAGGUUAUCCAUUCAAGCGACACCUCUACAACUCAUAAUAAUGGUGCACUCCAAUAUGAGGGUCUAUCUCUUUAUUUAUAGCCUAGAAAAGCCUCCCACCUCUUCUGAACAAGCGAUGUGGGACUAAUUCUUCCAUCGUUUGCUCUGCUGGGCUAUUAUACAUCAACUUGGGUCUUCCAAUCAUCCCUCAUGUGAGCCCACUCAAAGGAGCAGCUUGGGGCGCCUCUCUUGGGCCUCUAUCAUGCCAUAUGAGCCUCUUCUCACGUCAUGGGCCUUGCUUGGGCGUGGGGCCUAUUAGUGGUAAUUCUUCUUUAUUUGUAAAAUUAAUAUCUUUUCACUCUGGACUUCAAAUAUAGCAAAUGAUAUGUCUGUUUCGAUUGUCUCGACGAGCCCGUCGCAAUGGUGUAGUCCAAAUCAUCAUUUGACAUACCUUUUAUUUGAUGGAAAAUUGCAUAUUCCUACAAAACAAGUGAGAACACCAAAACUCAUGAAACUCGUUAGAAUCAAAACCUACAACUAUGCUUUGUGAUUUAUUUUAUAUUAAGUUAUGCAAUAGUUGACGGUUAUAUUUGGUACUUAACGACCGUCAAUAGUACCCCCAAGCUUACCCUUUGCUAGUCCUUUAAAGCUAAACUUAGUUGUGGAUCAGGAGUUGCUGCAAUAUUUUCACUUUCAAUCAGGUACUCAUACCUUCAAACAAAAAUUCUUCUUUGAAUUUAGAAAAAAUAUAUCAUAUUAUUCAUCAUAGGGCUUAAUGCUCUUACCUUGGAUCUUGAGUAAUUGUAAGAUAGAACGAUCAAAUCAAGUACCAUGUCUCUAGUUAUUUCACUUCACCUUUUAUUCUAGAGUUUUCUUUCUUUUUUUUUUAAUUUUCAAAAGCUCAGAAACAUAUGUUGUGAAAUUAAACAAUGGAUCCAAAGAGAAACUCAACCAUACCAUUGAAUUGAGAGGUGCAUGUAUAUGGAAAAUGGAGUUCAACAUAUAUUUAUAUUUAUAUAUAUAUCACUCUCUUUUAUUAUUAAAGAUAUAUGACUAUAAGGCUAAUUCUACUACCGGCACGUGCCCAUUUUUUUAUAUUUAUUUUGAGGUUCCAGACACUUGUCCCUUUUUAUUUCCUCAUGAUCUAUCUUUUUAAGGUUUUGGGCACUUGUCCCUUUUUAUUUCUUGAGAUACUUUUCAUAGCUAUAUAUCCUCUAAUAAACUUUUGAGAGGAUAGCAAUAGAUAAUUGUGGUCAUUUAUGCGGCAAAUGAAUAGAAUGUAUAAAUGAUCUCAAUUCAAUAGCAUGAUAACUCCUCAUAGAGUCAACAAAGCUUAAUUUAACUUAAUGCAAUUAUUAGUCAUAUUAAUAUUGGUAAAUCUCCUGAACUCUAGUGUUGUUUUAGAACAAGAUAAUAGCAGCUCAGACCAUCACAUAUCAUAUCCACAAAUUACCUAGACUUUUAGAUUAAGCAUUUACAACCCAUGCAUUUAAUUUUAUUUUAAGGCAUAAUUAUUGAUUAGGAGAACUCGUGUUUGAAAGCUAGGUACUGAAAAGAAAUUACGAUAGAGCAACUAUUCAUCAUUUCCACUUUAAGAAAUUAGAGAGAGAGAGAGAGUUCUUCAAACAUAUUUUAAUUAUUUAAUCUAACAUACGCUAUAGCUUACUAAAAUAAAACCUUAAUCAUGAUGAUAACGGGGUGCGUCUCCCCCAAGCUAAUCCCUACGAUCGCGUCGAGCCUUCAUGUACCCGAAUAUUUUUAUGUUUUUCUUAAUUAAGGAUGAGCCUUCAUGUGCUCAUAUAUUUUUGGUAUUUUUAAAUUUUUCUAUGAUACUAUUGUGAACCUUCAUGUGCUCACAUAUUUUUUUGGUAUUUUAUGACUAUAUAAAAUAGACUCAAUAAUCGCCUAGGUAUAGUUACCUGAUAACUAGGGGAUGCUCCUCCCCAAGCUAGAUAUUUGCCAUCUUUGGUGUUCAUGAUCUUCAGAGUGAGCUAACGAGCAGCGGUUUUGGUGGGUGCCACCAAUAGACUCUCUCCUUAUCAUAAUAUUGUUCCUGCAUAGUUAUACUCUAACAAGAAAAACCAAAACUCGAGGGUUGAAUUUAAUAAAAGGUUAGGGGUCAGCCAAUAAGUGAUUAAUUGUUCUUUCAGUUGAUUUGAAUUGACAGAUUCUAGCAGAAUUCUAUUUUUAGGGUUUUCUAGUUUAAUUAUGUAGAAAUUAAAUAUGUGUGCAUGAUAUAUUGUUGUAUUUUUAUACCUCCACAGAGAAUAUUUACUCUAAUGGGGCUUAGGCUUUUUCAUAAUGCAAGAAAGUAAAUACAAAUGCUAUAAUUAUUAUUAUUCUUCUUUAUGCCACCACAAUAAAUAUUCCUACAGGGUUACCAUAAGUUUAUUCACGUGGGGCUUUUAAUAUUUUGUGAUGCAGUAAAUGAAGCAAUAAAGAUUUUUAUUUCUUUUUGAUAUGCAUAAAGAUGAAUAUGCUAAAGUAAAGAUAGAAAUACUAAUUAAUUAGAUAACUACUAUAUUACCUUACGACAAGGGUACGAAAUUUAAAGCUGACCGACAGGACUUCUUCUUCCACUCUUGUGUAUCUCUCCAUCUUAGAGAUAGAGGUCUUGAUAGUUGCAUACCUCUAGUGAUGGUGAUAUCACUGUUGUUCUUUAGUUUGGCCAACAGGUUGAAGUAGAGCUUUAAUAUUAGGAGCUGACAGCGUCAUGCUCAGUGUGCAUGUUCAUAGAACUUUCACUUGUAGAAUUAAUAAAAUUUGAUCAAAGUGUUGUCCUAUUUGCUAAACCAAGGUAGAGAUCAAGUGCAUAGGCUCUGCUAGUAAAAGAACACCAACAGAACCAAAUUUAUCCCUUUAUUUAUUUUUCUCUGUUCUUAGGCACAUUGAACAAGACAAAGUUGGUGUUGCAUGAUUUGUUUACUUAUGUCAUGAGUGAUAAGAUUAGAAGAUUAAGCAUUUAUAUUGUAUUUAAGUUCACAUGGCAGAAAAGAAUGAAAUUGCUUAACCAAUGGAAGGAUUGUCUAUCUCUAUAUAAAUUUUCACAUGAGUAUGACUAUCGUCUUCCCAAGAUUGAAUAUAAUGUUUUAACUUGUUUGGUUAAGACUGAAAUUAAGAGAACGGUGCCAUGAACAAUCUCAAAGAGCAAAGCAUGUGCACACCAGGAUCAAGAGAGGAGAGCAGUGACCACUUACCUUAGGAUAUUACCUUCAUUAUUAGUGCAUGAUGGCACUAAGUGAUGAAGGGUAGAUGACUGGUGGUCCAUUCCUUCUCUUGUAUCUUGAGUUGUUCAGGGACAUCUUUUCUCCUUUGUUGCAUUCAUUCUUUUGUUAUCUUUUGCUUCUUUGAUCUUUUUACUCUUUUCACUCCAUUCAUUAUUAUGCCUGCAACAGAUUAGUGGACAACACAUACCCGAAGGAGUAUACAACUUUUAAAUAUAGGUUUAAGCUUGUCUAGUAUUUUAUUUUGUUCUAUCUAUGCUAAUAAAAUAAUAGUACUGGUAUUGUUUUAGCAUAGAUCAUGUUUAAUACAGACAUGGCUUGAGGCAAAGUAACUUAUAGUUCUUUCAUCCAUGAUGAAUGAGUUGUAUCUUUUUCUAUAAAGUUAUUGAAGCCCGUCAUGCGUCCUAUUUUAUCUCUGAUUUGAAUUCAUCUCAUGACUUACCCACAUUAAAUUAAAAGUUUUCUGCAGGGGUUAGUCCAUAAAAUAUCUAAUGUCUACUACAGCAUAGUAUCAGUACAAAAAUCAACCUAGACACCACGUCUAAUUUAAUAUAGGAAGGCAUUCUAACCUAAGCACCAUGCUUAAUUCAAAAAGCCUUUGAAAGUAAGAUCAACACACCUCUUGGUUCGAAAAUCAAACUAAACACCUUGUCUAAUUAUGACUCAAGAAAGCAGUUUAAACUAAGCACCAUGCCUAAUUUAAAAGGUGUAUGAAAUUUCUCCAAACCUUAAGUAUACUAUAGCAAACAAUGGU